AGAGAGAGACAUGCGCGCAUAUCAAUAAGCGGAGGAAAAGAAACUAACAAGGAUUCCCCUAGUAACGGCGAGUGAAGCGGGAAGAGCUCAAAUUUGAAAUCUUAAAGGGUUUCCCUUUACGAAUUGUAGUUUAAAGAAGUGUUUUCUGUUGGAGCUUCGGUAAAAGUUCUUUGGAAUAGGACAUCAUAGAGGGUGAGAAUCCCGUAUUUGACCGUUACUUUCCAGCUGUGUGAUACACUUUCAAAGAGUCGGAUUGUUUGGGAAUGCAGUCCAAGAUGGGUGGUAAAUUUCAUCUAAAGCUAAAUAUUGGCGAGAGACCGAUAGCGAACAAGUACCGUGAGGGAAAGAUGAAAAGAACUUUGAAAAGAGAGUUAAACAGUACGUGAAAUUGUCAAAAGGGAAGCGUUUGACACCAGUGUUGUUUUUCCGAAAAUCAAUUACGAAUGUUUUAUUUUUGAGGAGUUAUGACUUCAUCGGCUUGCUCCUUUCUUUAUGAAACUUUCUUAAUGCACUUUUCGGUUAACAAGUCAACAUCAAUUUCUUUUGUUGUAAAAGGGUAUGAGGAAGGUGGCUUUCUUUUCGGAGAAAGUGUUUAUAGCCUUGUACCUCUGCAAUCGGAGAGAUUGAGGUCUGCAGCGUAGAUCCUUCGGGGUUAGAUACGUUUGUGCUAAGUUAUAGCUUUACAUAGACAACUUGUUGACUAUGUUUAGUCUUGUAGCUUACUCGCUGACGCUAUUUUACCUACGCUUAGGAUGUUGAUAGUCACAGCGUGUAC
Molecule: ribosomal RNA, 775 nt
Filed under: uncultured Neocallimastigales
Lineage: Eukaryota; Fungi; Neocallimastigomycota; Neocallimastigomycetes; Neocallimastigales
Description: partial large subunit ribosomal RNA
Rfam family: Eukaryotic large subunit ribosomal RNA
Source: RNAcentral